GAUGAACGCUGGCGGCGUGCCUAAUACAUGCAAGUCGAACGAAGCGGGGACGGGUGAGUAACACGUGGGUAACCUCCUAUAAGACUGGGGUAACUUCGGGAAACCGGAGCUAAACCGGAUGCUUAUAGCUGGAUCCGCGUUGCAUUAGCUAGUGGGUAAGGUAACGGCUUACCAAGGCAACGAUGCAUAGCAGGUCUGAGAGGAUGAUCGGCCACACUGGAACUGAGACACGGUCCAGACUCCUACGGGAGGCAGCAGUAGGGAAUCUUCCGCAAUGGGCGAAAGCCUGACGGAGCAACGCCGCGUGUGUGAUGAAGGUCUUCGGAUUGUAAAACUCUUUUAGUAGGGAAGCGGUACCUACUCAGAAAGCCCCGGCUAACUACGUGCCAGCAGCCGCAGUAAUUC
This 405-nucleotide ribosomal RNA is filed under the name uncultured bacterium. RNAcentral's name for it is "partial 16S ribosomal RNA". It matches the Rfam family "Bacterial small subunit ribosomal RNA", at positions 28 to 526 of the family's 1533-position model. The record is from RNAcentral.